GGACAGGCGGCACCGUGGUGGCCUUGGCUGUCAGUCAUUAACCCAGUGGGGACAGAGUCCAGGCGCAGGGGCUGCCCAGAGCCUGGCGAGGCAGAGCAGCUCCCGGGCGGAGGAUGGCGGCAGGCACCAGGUCCCCACGCACGCGGGCGGUGGUGAGCGUGGUGCAGGGCGCGGAGGCACCGGGGGCACAACCUGCACGCCCUGGGGCCCAGCUGCCAGCCUCUCCUGGGGCCAUUUGUGCCACCAGAGCAAGGCCGGCAGCUGGAGAGGGGGGUCCCAUGGCAGCCAAGCCCCAUGGCCACGCGGGGUCCCACAGCCCUGCGCCCCUGUCCUGCAUCUCCCCACCCCCCCGCGUGGCAUCCUGACCACCGUGCCCCCCCCCACGCCACCAGCGCUGCCUCACCGCUGUUGGCUCCGGUGACAAUGACCGUCUUGCCCGUCAGGUCGGUGGGGCACUUGCGCGGGUCCCAGCCUCGUCUCCUCCUGGCCCAGAGCAGCAGCCCCAGGACCAGCGCCAGCACGGACCAGCCCGGGUGGCUGCAGGCGCUCGGCAGCUCCAUGGCUGGGGACAG
This is a long non-coding RNA of Oxyura jamaicensis (ruddy duck), 572 nucleotides long. RefSeq lists it as uncharacterized. The transcript is spliced from 2 exons. Lineage: Eukaryota; Metazoa; Chordata; Aves; Anseriformes; Anatidae. The record is from RefSeq and is a predicted model, not a curated record.